CCGUCGUCAGCUGACCCGAGCCGGAAGCGCGGGGCUCUUCCGGACGGCGGCGGCGGCCAUGGCUCCGGACCCCUGGCUCUCGUUGUACGGUGCCGCCGGCCAGAUCGCCCAGGAGAUCGCGGAGAAAAUCCAGGAGCGUAACCGCUGCCAAAGGAACGGGGAGAGUUCGGCCAAGCUCAAUGUGAUUAUCAGAUCAUUGUUACAGAAUCUCAGAGAGAAGAUUGAUCAGCUGAAGGACUUACUGCUUCGGGCUGUGUCAACACACCAAAUCACGCAGCUGGAGGGAGACAGGAGGCAGAAUUUGGUGGAUGACCUUCUCACACGACAGAAGCAACUUCAGGCAUCUUACAAGAAUGAAGGCACAGAACCAGAUGUGAUAAGAUCUAGCCUAAUGACGGGAGGGGUCAAACGAGGUGUAACCAACCCAUGGCUCUUGGAAGAAUCUGAGGAAACCAGAGGGCUUGGCUUUGAUGAUCUCAGGCAGCAGCAGCGAAGGAUCAUAGAAGAGCAAGAUGCUGGACUCGAUGCUCUUUCUUCAAUCAUAUCUCGGCAAAAGCAAAUGGGGCAGGAAAUUGGGAAUGAGCUGGAUGAACAGAAUGGGGCUGACACUCUGUACAAGGCAUCUGUUUCGUGUGAAUCAGCGAUGCAUAUGAUGUCUGUAGGUCAUUUCCUUCUAUCAAGAGAGGUGGCAAGACUAGCCAUAGUCUCUGCCUAAAUACUAGAGCGAGAUCAUCGACGACCUCACUAACCUGGUUGAAAACACAGAUGACAAGCUUCGCAACCAGACGCGGCAUGUGAAGUUGGUGGAUAAGAAAUCAACGUCCUGUGGAAUGCUGGUGGUGAUUGUGUUGCUGCUGAUUGCGAUUGCUGUGGUUGCUGUCUGGCCGACACAGUAAUGCGGAUAUGGGGCCCGUCGGAGCUGCUGCUCGACAGCUGAGCACGGAGGACUCCAGAGAAGAGACCGACUUUGUGCAAAGACCUUCUGUGUUUUAAAUAAACUCAACAGUAUGAGAAUGAAGCUGUGUCCGACAGACAUCCGUUCUUCCUUCAGUGCACAGCUGAAGAGUGCUGCGUGGAGGGUUUGAACUUGAAAAGGACUCUCUUCCCACCUUCAUUUGGCGUUCGGGAGGCUGCAGCUGGCUGUACAAUAGAUUCACUUCUCAGUGCAUCUGUGUCUGAGCACGCGCUGGUGUCGGGGUGCUGCCUGCCCAGCCCGCUGCCGCUUCUGCUGAGUGGUCAGUUGUCCCGAGGGCUUUAAAAUACUAAAAUAAAGGUGUGGUUUUCGAGUACAGCGGUAGCGCUCCUCUGCUUUCUGAUACCUUCCUUUGGAAUGAAAAUGCUUGCAUUUUUCAAGGAAUAGAUGUUUUGGGGAAUGACUGCAUCUGGAUGCUCAUAGGAUGGGAAGUGAGAGCACGCGGAGCCCUGCGGGGAGACGCAGGACCCCCAUGAGCUGCACAGAAACUCUGGCGAGUGAGUCAGUCGUUGGCCUGUCAGGGAGAGUUAUCGCUGUUGAUCUCCAUGGAUAGAAAUGUAAACAGCAGCAGGUCUUGAACCAGGUGUGUAAGAGUGGAAAGCCUUGUCCAACACGUGCUCAUGAGAAAGGUGCGCUCUCCACAUGCUCUGCCGUGCUCUGCCAGGCUGAACGCAGGAGGUGUGCUGGCAUUAAUAUACUAAUCUCGGCGAUCGAGGUCUGCCUCUUUCUUUUAUAACUUUUCACACACUGUUAAAACUGAGAGGAAGGAUUACCUAUUUAAAAACUAAUGAAAAAGUAUUGAAUGUUUGUUUCAACGUUCGCUUGACACAACUGGCCAAAAAAUAAUUAUUUUGUUAUACAUACCAGUUUGAUUUCAGAAUUGAUAGAGCAAGCAAUAAAUAUUGAAUAAAAGCCGAUCCAUUUAUAUACAA
RNA transcript from Aquila chrysaetos chrysaetos, 1905 nucleotides. It is a transcript of the gene named syntaxin 8, with no coding region annotated. The transcript has 9 exons. The record is from RefSeq and is a predicted model, not a curated record. Lineage: Eukaryota; Metazoa; Chordata; Aves; Accipitriformes; Accipitridae.